GCCAGGUGGAAGGAAUACGGCCAUGCUGGGAGCCGGGACUCGGAAUUAAAACUCAACCAAGGAUUAAAUACGGAAAAGAGAAGUGGUACAAAUUUUCUCACGUUUCACAACCUCUUGAUAAUACCUGUGGUGUUGCCAGGAAGCAUUCAGUGGAAUCAAAGUUAAGUCGAAAAGACAGCUUUUUCCCGCCAUCUUUAACAUUGGAUGUUGGUCGCCUAAGUUUGCAGGACGUUACUCCAGUAAAAAGAAUGUACUUGCUGAGUUCAUGCCAGCGCAGCG
RNAcentral lists this long non-coding RNA (279 nucleotides) under Oryzias javanicus (javanese ricefish). RNAcentral describes it as "lncRNA (ENSOJAG00000023930.1)". The record is from RNAcentral. Lineage: Eukaryota; Metazoa; Chordata; Actinopteri; Beloniformes; Adrianichthyidae.